AGAGUUUGAUCCUGGCUCAGAACGAACGCUUGCUGCAUGCUUUAUACAUGCAAGUCGAACGAAGGCCCUAGCUUGCUAGGUGUCCUUAGUGGCGCACGGGUGAGUAACACGUGGGAACAUACCUUAUAGUACGGAAUAACUGCGGGAAACUGUAGCUAAUACCGUAUAUUCCAGUAAUGGGAAAGAUUUAUCGCUAUAAGAUUGGCCCGCGCAAGAUUAGCUUGUUGGUGAGGUAAAAGCUCACCAAGGCUUCGAUCUUUAGCUGGUUUGAGAGGAUGAUCAGCCACACUGGGACUGAGACACGGCCCAGACUCCUACGGGAGGCAGCAGUAGGGAAUAUUGGACAAUGGGGGCAACCCUGAUCCAGCAAUGCAGCGUGAGUGACGAAGGCCUUAGGGUUGUAAAACUCUUUCAUCGGUGAGGAUAAUGACAGUAGCCGAAGAAGAAGGACCGGCUAAUUCCGUGCCAGCCGCCGCGGUAAUAC
RNAcentral lists this ribosomal RNA (484 nucleotides) under uncultured bacterium. Its description in RNAcentral is "bacterial SSU rRNA". It matches the Rfam family "Bacterial small subunit ribosomal RNA", at positions 8 to 526 of the family's 1533-position model. The record is from RNAcentral.